Non-coding RNA from Tricholoma furcatifolium, 108 nucleotides. The record is from the annotation of a GenBank genome assembly. Lineage: Eukaryota; Fungi; Basidiomycota; Agaricomycetes; Agaricales; Tricholomataceae.
GGCGCUAUAGCCAAGUGGUUACGGCGACAGAUUAGAACCGGGGAAUUAAUCCUAUUUCAACAUAUCUGUUCCUCUUUGAGGGCGCAGGUUCAAAUCCUGCUGGCGUCG